GUGGGGAAUCUUCCGCAAUGGACGAAAGUCUGACGGAGCAACGCCGCGUGAGUGAUGAAGGUCUUCGGAUUGUAAAGCUCUGUUAAUCGGGACGAAAGAGCCUAGUGUGAAUAAUGCUAGGAAGUGACGGUACCGGAAUAGAAAGCCACGACUAACUACGUGCCAGCAGCCGCGGUAAUACGUAGGUGGCAAGCGUUGUCCGGAAUUAUUGGGCGUAAAGCGCGCGCAGGCGGAUCUGCCAGUCUGUCUUAAAAGUUCGGGGCUUAACCCCGUGAUGGGAUGGAAACUACAGAUCUAGAGUAUCGGAGAGGAAAGUGGAAUUCCUAGUGUAGCGGUGAAAUGCGUAGAUAUUAGGAAGAACACCAGUGGCGAAGGCGACUUUCUGGACGAAAACUGACGCUGAGGCGCGAAAGCUAGGGGAGCGAACGGGAUUAGAUACCCCUGUAGUCC
This 450-nucleotide ribosomal RNA is filed under the name uncultured bacterium. RNAcentral's name for it is "partial 16S ribosomal RNA". It matches the Rfam family "Bacterial small subunit ribosomal RNA", at positions 354 to 796 of the family's 1533-position model. The record is from RNAcentral.